RNAcentral lists this ribosomal RNA (879 nucleotides) under Bacillus siamensis. Its description in RNAcentral is "bacterial SSU rRNA". It matches the Rfam family "Bacterial small subunit ribosomal RNA", at positions 59 to 919 of the family's 1533-position model. Lineage: Bacteria; Bacillati; Bacillota; Bacilli; Caryophanales; Bacillaceae. The record is from RNAcentral.
CAGUCGAGCGGACAGAUGGGAGCUUGCUCCCUGAUGUUAGCGGCGGACGGGUGAGUAACACGUGGGUAACCUGCCUGUAAGACUGGGAUAACUCCGGGAAACCGGGGCUAAUACCGGAUGGUUGUUUGAACCGCAUGGUUCAGACAUAAAAGGUGGCUUCGGCUACCACUUACAGAUGGACCCGCGGCGCAUUAGCUAGUUGGUGAGGUAACGGCUCACCAAGGCGACGAUGCGUAGCCGACCUGAGAGGGUGAUCGGCCACACUGGGACUGAGACACGGCCCAGACUCCUACGGGAGGCAGCAGUAGGGAAUCUUCCGCAAUGGACGAAAGUCUGACGGAGCAACGCCGCGUGAGUGAUGAAGGUUUUCGGAUCGUAAAGCUCUGUUGUUAGGGAAGAACAAGUGCCGUUCAAAUAGGGCGGCACCUUGACGGUACCUAACCAGAAAGCCACGGCUAACUACGUGCCAGCAGCCGCGGUAAUACGUAGGUGGCAAGCGUUGUCCGGAAUUAUUGGGCGUAAAGGGCUCGCAGGCGGUUUCUUAAGUCUGAUGUGAAAGCCCCCGGCUCAACCGGGGAGGGUCAUUGGAAACUGGGGAACUUGAGUGCAGAAGAGGAGAGUGGAAUUCCACGUGUAGCGGUGAAAUGCGUAGAGAUGUGGAGGAACACCAGUGGCGAAGGCGACUCUCUGGUCUGUAACUGACGCUGAGGAGCGAAAGCGUGGGGAGCGAACAGGAUUAGAUACCCUGGUAGUCCACGCCGUAAACGAUGAGUGCUAAGUGUUAGGGGGUUUCCGCCCCUUAGUGCUGCAGCUAACGCAUUAAGCACUCCGCCUGGGGAGUACGGUCGCAAGACUGAAACUCAAAGGAAUUGACGGGGG